AGAGUUUGAUCAUGGCUCAGGACGAACGCUGGCGGCGUGCCUAACACAUGCAAGUCGAACGGGGCCCGCAAGGGUUCAGUGGCGAACGGGUGCGUAACACGUGAAGAACUUGUCCAUCGGCGGGGGAUAGCCGGCCCAACGGCCGGGUAAUACCGCGUACGCCGUCUGAAGCGCAUGCUUCGGCCGGGAAAGCAGCAAUGCACCGAUGGAGAGCUUCGCGGCCUAUCAGCUUGUUGGCGGGGUAAUGGCCCACCAAGGCGACGACGGGUAGCUGGUCUGAGAGGAUGACCAGCCACAUUGGGACUGAGACACGGCCCAGACUCCUACGGGAGGCAGCAGUGGGGAAUAUUGCACAAUGGGCGCAAGCCUGAUGCAGCGACGCCGCGUGAGGGAUGACGGCCUUCGGGUUGUAAACCUCUUUCAGUAGGGAAGAAGCGAAAGUGACGGUACCUGCAGAAGAAGCGCCGGCUAACUACGUGCCAGCAGCCGCGGUAAUAC
RNAcentral lists this ribosomal RNA (498 nucleotides) under uncultured bacterium. RNAcentral's name for it is "bacterial SSU rRNA". It matches the Rfam family "Bacterial small subunit ribosomal RNA", at positions 8 to 526 of the family's 1533-position model. The record is from RNAcentral.